GGCCACAGCCACAGUCUUGGUUCGCGGUUUGCAGUGUGUCGACCUCCCCUCGUACGACCACUGCUGCUCGGUAGAUCGGUCGUCUUUGGAGAACUUGGACAAGUUCUUGAUCUUCAACUGGUGGCUUAGUCGCGAGCCUCUCGGAAGCUGCCCAAUUACCAAACUAAGUUUAGUGUUUUUGUGUGGUGAAGAAAUUGCUGAACUAGAACGUGGGUGCUGAACAACAAGUCAGCGGAACCUCUACCCUAUCGGCGAUCUACGCACGGACUGUGCAAUCGGCGUUCCGCUGCUAAACAGCUGAGCCAACACAGAACGCGGUGGAGUGCUGGUUCAGUGAACACCUUCAAUUAACAGUGGUGACUAGUGUAGCAAGAGAGAGCACUUUGAAGUUUGUGCGACGUCGAGAAGAAGCCUGUUACUAGGAGGAUCAUCUGAACGAUCGAUCGAUCAAUCGCUGACGUACCGAGAAAAUUGCCUCUCUCGAAACCGAAUGAAGAAUGCUGUUUGAUGGGCAGUGCUUACGGUUGUGAAUUGUGGUGGUAAACGGUAGUGAGUUGUUGCAAGGCUUGUGAUUAGACACACAUACACACCCCUAAUAGUUGGUGAAGAGUUGUGAAUAGUGAUAUAGCUCCUGGGUGCGAAAGUCUCCGGCGAGACUUAGAGAUAAGCGAGGAUGCAGCCGAACGAGAAUUAUAACAAUAACAUCAUCCAGGAGGAGUUCGCUCCGACGCUGACCGACAGCGACAAGAGUCCCAUCCACACAUGUGCCAGCACGUCGGCCACGGUGUUCAGCAACAGCGCAGCGACAACCCAACCCAAGGAAAUCCCCAAUGGCUGCUGUUCCUCCACCUCCUCCGGUAGCCCGGCGGAACUGGACUGCGGCAAGCAGGAUGUCUCGUACUACAAACUGCGCCAGUUACUUAGCUACGACGACGCCCCUGCCCACCUCAAGUUCAACCCGUUCAUCCGCAGCGGCUACCGGACCAUCCUGUCCACCAAGCUCUGCCUGGAGAGCAUGUUCUGGUGGACGAACGAAACCGUCAACAUCUGGAGCCACGUCUUUGGGUGGUUCCUCUUCAUCGGGCUCGCCUACUCGGACGUGGUCCUGCUCCAGAUGCACGCCAGCAUGAUCGACAAGCUGAUCGUCGGGGCGCUGCUCGUGUGUUUUCAGGUCUGCAUGAUCCUGUCCUCGAUCUACCAUACUUUCUCCUGCAAGUCGGAGCAAAGCUAUGAGUGUUUCCUCGCGUACGACCUGUUCGGGAUCGCGCUCUCGCUGCUGGCCAUCUUCAUCAGCGGCAUCUACUACGCGUUCUGGUGCAAUGCGGAACUCCGCAACUUCUACAUCAUCACGAUCGGCGUCAUCUUCACCGUGGCCAUGAUCCUCCAGAUCCCCCGCCUCAAGGUCAACUCGAACGUCAAGAUGCUGGCUUUCGUGGCGUGGGCCGCGUACGGGGUCGUCCCGACGCUCCACUGGUACAUCGUGAUGGGCGGCGCCGAAAGUACCAUGGUCAAGCUGUUCAUACCGCGGGUGGCCAUCAUGUACCUGCUCACGGGGACGGCCUUCCUGAUCUAUGUCACCAGAAUACCGGAGCGAUGGUUCGCCGGGAAGGUCGACUACAUUGGCCACUCGCACAACUGGUGGCACGUGUUCGUGCUGGCCGCGCUCUACUACUGGCACAACAGUGGUUUGGCCUUUGCAUUUUUCAUGAUUGAUAACGGAUGUGUAGAAGAUAGAGAUAAAUGUUACCGGUUGUAAAUAGGAUCGCCGGAAAAAAAACAGAACAAAACCGAAACGUUGGACGUAGUCCUACGUUAGAAACAAACACUGAAAAAAAUGCUAACCACACAUUCCCAACAGAAUAGCUAAAAGCGCGAAAUAUUUUUAAACUUGUUUUGUUUGCGAUUUUUCUUGCCUUUUGAUUCUUGCCCCCCCCUUUUUUAAGUUGUUAUAUAUUUGCUUUUAGUUUUUAAUUUUCGGUGUUCCUACACACACACACGGGUUGAGGGUGACUUGUAAAGACAUUAGCGGACUGACACAAAAACACAUGCAAGUUGAGAAAAUAAUAGGAUCUAACCGGAAAGAACCCCCUCCACCCCUCUCCUCCAUCGACUGACUACUAAUACAACUCACUAAGCGAAAGAGGGGCGCCUCGACGGUGACAGAACACUUUCAUGAACACUACAAGGCAUGAAAUAUGUCGAGUACCGGAUGACCCACGGAUGUUCGGCCGGGGUCCAGUACACCUGACCGCCGUCGCCGGAACUGGCCACUAAUUAGUGGGAGAGGGACCCCACCCCCAUCGACACACACACAGUGUAAACAAAAACAAAGCAAAGCAAUUUAGGGAAAGCGAGAGAAAGAGAACAAUGCGGGUGCUUGUGAGGGUGUGUGCGUGAGAGAAUUUGAAGAGAGUGUGAGUGAGACAAACAGAGAGAAUCAAGAGACAGAGACAAUACGAGAGAGGGACUCGAGAGAGAGCGAAACCGUUGCUAGUGUUAUUUACGGUAUAUUUUUAAAAUAGUCCACAGCAUUGUUGAACGUAAAUAGUUGUACAGAAAAAGUUCUAGUUAUUUUCUCCCUCUUACUCUUCUUCUUCCCCUCGUUCAAAGCGUCGUUCUAGUUAAAUAGGGCGGCGCGUAAUAGUGUUUGCUCAAAUUUACCAACUACGACUAUUUACACAGUAUAACAGUACCUUAAACUAACUGAAAACAGACAGAAAGCGAGAGAGAGAGCGAGAGGGACACGCAGUACAGGUAGUAUCAGUUACAUUUUACCAACAACCUAUAAUAAUUCGCAGUACAAGAUGUGAUCUAUUUAGCUCAACUACGGAACUAUGAAACAUACUGAUAUAGCCAGAGUUUAUUCAGAUUCGUUUAGUAGGACACUUUUUUUAGGUCUUUCGAUAAGUAAUAAAGUUUCAAAACAGUUUAA
RNA transcript from Culex pipiens pallens (northern house mosquito), 2932 nucleotides. It is a transcript of the gene named progestin and adipoQ receptor family member 3, with no coding region annotated. The record is from RefSeq and is a predicted model, not a curated record. The transcript is spliced from 7 exons. NCBI's taxonomy places the organism in Eukaryota, Metazoa, Arthropoda, Insecta, Diptera, Culicidae.